Molecule: long non-coding RNA, 3990 nt
Organism: Dromaius novaehollandiae (emu)
Lineage: Eukaryota; Metazoa; Chordata; Aves; Casuariiformes; Dromaiidae
Exons: 2
Source: RefSeq, a predicted model, not a curated record
CGGGAGCCGAGCUGACCCGCGCUCCCGGCCCUGCCCAGCUCCCCGCUCCAGCCGAGGAGCCAAGAGCCGCCCAGGCCGGGCUGCUGGUGGGGCCCCCGCCAAGCGUGGGGUCCCCCGGUGCGGGAGGGCUCUCCGUGCUUCGCCACGACUGCCAGCUACGCCCGGCGGCUGAGAGCAAUCGGUCCCCGUGGAGCCGGGACCCAGGCGCUUCACCAGGCGUUGGCGUCGAUCCCGCACGCGCCGUCGCGUCCUGGUCCCGUCCUGGUGGUCUCACUAGGUCGGGGGUGGGGUGCUGCAAAGAUGACGCUUUCCUGGGAGCCGCUACUCUGCACCCAGAGCCAGCACGGCUCCUGCCCACCAGGGCCUUCCCUUCCUUUUGCUUCUCCGUGGGCUCAAAGAGCAACACUGCUUCUUGCCUGUGCUUGAAAGCAGAGUUUCUCUCCCAGCGAGACUUUAAGGAAGAGGAGUACCUGCCUUGCUGUGUUGCCUGGUUUCCGUGCUGCCCUGGUCUCGCUGGCAGCUUGUGUCCCUAACCCUGGAGCAGAGCACGCUGACAAGCACGUGCUUCGCCCGUACCGCGAUCACAACGACUUGCUCUCCAAGGAGCAAGAACAUCUUAAACCCUGUGAGCUUCUUGCCAGAGGGGACACCCGCGCUCAUCCCGCGGAGGGGAAGAAGAGAAGACACGGGUGUUAACAGGGACGGAUGGGCCGGUGCUGCCAGCCUGGCCCCGAGCUCUGCACGACCGCGGCCUGUGGUGACCGCUGGAGAGGCUUCUCGCGCCUUGCAAAGGCCUGCCGCUGGCAGCGGGGGAUGAAGGAUGUACAAGGCAAGGCCAGCCUCACAUCUGGGUCCAGCAAGGUAAAGCCCAUGAGCUGGCUCUGGGUCUACCACUGACCUGAAUUCUCAGGCCAAACCCCGACAAUCCCUGCUUUAGCUAAAAAUGGAAGUGGUGGCUUUGGGUGGCAGCCACUAAGGAGCAGGCAGAAAAUGAACGUGGGAACAGCAGAGGGAAGUGAUGUGAUGGUGAAGAUUAGCAUGAAAAAUGUCACCCUCGCUGUCAGCCACUGCCAAAUGUCUUCAAAGCAUUGUAGCAAAGAUGAGCUUUAAGGAGCGACGUGAAGGUGCGCAAAGAGGUGGCCUUGCAGGCAUUGAACUCCUGAUGUGCAGAUGCAGGAAAGAAGAGGAAAGCUUUGCUGGAACUUUUAUUUUUUUAAUGGGUAAUUUAAUCAGUGACACUAAGCCCUCCCAAUUAUUUCUUGCUAUGGAUACUGCCUAUUUAUUAAUUUCCUGAAUAUAAAUCCAUCAAGCUGUUGUCAUGCAGCAAGGAAGCAAACAAAAGCACCCCAGAGUUUUGUUUGGACCACAUAAAAGCACUCGAAGAGGUUAAUUAUUGCUGUUAAUUAUUCGCAUUGCAGACUUGGUUGCACACAGCGUUGUCUGGUGUCCUGGAUGCUGGGUGCAGAAGGAAAGCCAGCACAGAUGAUACUUCAGUAAUCAAGGCAGCACAGGAAGAGGGAAGGGAAGCCCUCCCAUCUUCGGGACGCUAUUGGAGGCCUUGACGUUGCCCCUUCAAGAAAAAUGGCCAAGUGCUAGUGUGUCCAGGCUGCGACGGCAAGAUGCUUUUUCAGAAGCCUCCAAAUGCAGCAGCUCAGCUAAGAACUUGUUUCGCUGCCUACCAGAGUGACUUACUUCAUCAGCCUUGACUUCCUGCGUAAUCGUCAGGGCUCUGCUGGCGCGGUGACCGCGGUCCGGCCUGCCCAGCCCGCGCCGGGAGCGGGAGCGGGAGCAGGAGCGGCCCCGGGUCUGCGGGAGGAAGCGGACAAAGGGGCAGAGGUCCAGCAAGAAGGAGGUUCAGAGGCCUGGAAAGCUUUUUUCCCCAAAGGAAACCGUGAAGGAAGUUAGAGCUAAUUUAGCAUAACAAAGGAAAGGUUAAGAGGUGAUUUGAUCAUCAUCUCUAAGUACUCACAUGGGAAUGAGAUUUCUGGGAGUAAAGGGCUGUUUGAUUUGGAGGACAAAGGCAUAUUAACAUACUGCCCGAAAGCUGAAGAUGGAAGGGAAAAAAGUGGCAACUCACUUUUUAAUGCUUAAGGUUAUCUGUGUAUGUACUUAGGGGUGGUAGAGUCUCCAUCCUCCAAUAUCUUUAAACCCAGACUGAAGAUCUUCCUAAAAGAUAUGCCUAGGGUCAGACAGAAGUUAUGGACUUGCAACUCGGUGGCCUGUAUCUUGCAGGAGUUCAUAUUAAAUGAUUUUAUUUGAUCCUUUGGCCUUAAGAUCUAUACAUCUACUUGCAAUAGCUAACAGCUGCCGCAAACCUGCUAAGUCCAUCUGGCAGUUUGUAGAUGACCACGACGUCAGGUAGACUUUGUGUCCGCCUCACCCCAAAACGCUGUCCUGAUCUGCAGCCUGGCCUGCUGUGUUGCCCUGCACCGCCGGGUGCCCUGGAGCACUGAUUUCUGUGGUGCAGCGGUUUUCCCACGCCGGUUUUCUGUUGAGGGACUCAUGAAGACUUGCUGCUGUACAGCUUGAUUGGAGCACAUUUAGGAGUCUGGGCUCUGCUGUUUGCUGAGGACUCUUACAGUAUGCAGCAUCAUCCAAAUAGGCUAAACUGCUUUGCUUGCUCUGACUUCUGGCUACUCCUAAAUGCGACAGUCACUGAAAUGGUAGGAGCCAAUACCUACUUUUCUAGAAAAUGUUACGGCUUGGGGGAGGAGUCCUCUCCUGCCUCCAGGAGAUGAUCAGGUCUUUGACAGUGAAACCCAAAACUGCCUGUCGUGGGCAUGAUCCCAAAGCUCUCUGCAGCCAAUUUCUCCUGCUGGAAGCCUGUUGAAUCUGUUGAAUUCACUGAAUCUCCUCUCCUCGGAGUCCUUGAGAUGCUGAGCCGAGGGCUGUAUUAACACCGGGCUCUGCAUUUGAUAUUCCUCCCCUGAAUUGCUACGCUCUGCCGCCCAACCGUGCAGUGGUUCCUCAGCUUAUGUAAAUGAGUUUAGCUCUAUCGCCUGCACGGCUCCUUCCCGAAGCCCAGCUCGAGCUCUCGGCGCAGCGGCAGGCGCCGCAGAAACCUUGCUUGCCCCCGUGAGCCCCCGUGCAGGAGAGCGCAGCGUAGCUAGCGAUGUCAGUUAAAGCCAAGUCAGCCGGGGCAGAGCCUCCGUGGGAGCAGUGCUCUCGUCGGCUGCAUCCUGGGGCCAAGCCCGGUGCCUCUCCCCUGCUCUGGGAGCAGGCAUGGGAAGCGUGGCUCUCCACCAGGCUCAUUUCCCCCCUCCUUGCUGGUGGCGCGGAGGAGUCGGCCCCGGGUGAACGUCGCCACGGACAGUACGCAAGAAGACGGCAUCCUGCAACUGGGCCUUGAGUUCAGCAGGCUUCCUCACGGAUGAGGAGACUUCCAGCAUGACUAAGGGAGUAGAGCGGAGGGAAGAACGAGUCUCCCCAAGCCACCGCCCCGUGCAGCUUGGCUCGCGGGACACCCGAGGCAGCCCACCCUCGCACGUGCCCGGGGGAUCGGGGCCAGGAUCCAGCUUCUGCAGCGUGACCGCGAUGAUCUCCCUCUCCGUGCCUGACCGUGCCGCUGCGGGUGGAGGUGCCGGGGUCCCCGCUGCAUGGUGAGGGGAGCCCCGCGGGGCACGGCAAGGCGACCUGACCGUGUGGGCUGGCUGCUGGUGCCGGAGCCGACGGCCGGGUGGCCCCUUGCCCGGGGCGGUCCCUUGCCCGAGCUCAUCGCUGUCCUGCAGAUCCAAGCAGUGCGUUGUGAUGGCUCGGACCAAGCUUGUGCCCUUGGUCCUUGACUGCUUAGAAAACCUCAGGAGACCAAAUGGUUUUGGUCUACUGCCUUGUUGCCAAACCAUUAACUUCCCAGUUUAAACGCUUAAUACAAUGGCCUUAUUUUUAAGACUGCCAGCUGAGCUGACUGUGCUUAGGACUGUCGUUUUCAGCUGUUCUCCAGCAAGAUGCUUUCUCAAAUGGUUUAAAAAAAAAAUUAAAGUUGUAUCCACA